This 66-nucleotide transfer RNA is filed under the name Halocynthia hilgendorfi ssp. n. KRK-2020. Its description in RNAcentral is "tRNA-Gln". Lineage: Eukaryota; Metazoa; Chordata; Ascidiacea; Stolidobranchia; Pyuridae. The record is from RNAcentral.
AUAGUGAAUAGUUUAAGUUAAAAUGUUAAAUUUUGAGUUUGAGGAUGGUGUGAGAAUCUUGCUAUG